CUUGACAUGGUCGGAAUCCUGCUGAGAGGCGGGAGUGCUCGAAAGAGAACCGGCGCACAGGUGCUGCAUGGCUGUCGUCAGCUCGUGUCGUGAGAUGUUGGGUUAAGUCCCGCAACGAGCGCAACCCUUGUCCUUAGUUGCUACGCAAGAGCACUCUAAGGAGACUGCCGGUGACAAACCGGAGGAAGGUGGGGAUGACGUCAAGUCCUCAUGGCCCUUAUGGGUAG
RNAcentral lists this ribosomal RNA (227 nucleotides) under uncultured beta proteobacterium. RNAcentral describes it as "partial 16S ribosomal RNA". It matches the Rfam family "Bacterial small subunit ribosomal RNA", at positions 980 to 1211 of the family's 1533-position model. The record is from RNAcentral. Lineage: Bacteria; Pseudomonadati; Pseudomonadota; Betaproteobacteria.